This is a long non-coding RNA of Melospiza melodia melodia, 719 nucleotides long. RefSeq lists it as uncharacterized. The transcript is spliced from 2 exons. The record is from RefSeq and is a predicted model, not a curated record. Lineage: Eukaryota; Metazoa; Chordata; Aves; Passeriformes; Passerellidae.
GCGGGCCGGAGCGAGGGAGGCGAGCAGAGCGGCGGCGCAGAUGCCAAACUAGCUGCAGUGGAGUGAAAAUACAGCUGUAGAAGCCCUGAAGAUAAGGGACUAAUGUCUGUGUCUCAAACAUGAAGAGCCAAAUUGCUCUGCUGCCAACCAAGGAUCCUUGGUAAUAACAUGCUGUGAGAAGUGACAGGAUGUGGCUGGAGAAGGGGGCCUUACAGGGGCAGGGCAGCAGUUUUCUGGGACAGAAAUCCUUGUUCUGGCUCCUGGAGAUAAGCACAGUUGGACAUACAGGAAUGAGGUCAAGAAAAAGGAUUACUGACCGAAAGCAAACCCAGCAGAGGGGGAUCAAGACACCAGAGACACCCCGAAGCCCUCCAACCUAUUUCCAGAAAGGUCUAGAGGAAUGAACUGUGCAUGACGACUGAUUUGCAUAGAAAGCAAGAAACUUAUCUAUAAAGUAAGUACCCCCAUGAGGCUCCAGGACUUCAUUGGCUAUUCAUGGCUCCAGGACUCUGGACAUCCCAUUAGCUGGAUCAGCGCCGGAACAAGGACUGGUGAUCUUUGUCCCUCUCUCCCUCCCUCCCUCCAGUUUCUCUCACUCACUCUACCUCUUUAUUCAGAACCCACCACUCUGUGCUUAUACUGGAAAAUGAGGGAAUAACAUAUCAAUUUCCAGGACAAGUGUAUAAUUUGCUAAUAAAACUCUGUAAGCUUUUACAGAC